This 273-nucleotide ribosomal RNA is filed under the name uncultured bacterium. RNAcentral's name for it is "partial 16S ribosomal RNA". It matches the Rfam family "Bacterial small subunit ribosomal RNA", at positions 524 to 796 of the family's 1533-position model. The record is from RNAcentral.
UACGUAGGCAGCGAGCGUUGUUCGGAGUUACUGGGCGUAAAGAGUGCGUAGGCGGUUUUCUAAGUUUGGUGUGAAAUCUCCCGGCUUAACUGGGAGGGUGCGCCGAAGACUGGAAGGCUUGAGUAUGGGAGAGGUAAGCGGAAUUCCUGGUGUAGCGGUGAAAUGCGUAGAUAUCAGGAGGAACACCUGCGGUGUAGACGGCUUACUGGACCAUAACUGACGCUGAGGCACGAAAGCGUGGGUAGCAAACAGGAUUAGAAACCCCCGUAGUCC